CGCUGGCGGCGUGCUUAACACAUGCAAGUCGAACGGGAUCCCUGGCGCUUGCGCCGGGGUGAGAGUGGCGAACGGGUGAGUAAUGCGUGACCAACCUGCCCCAUGCACCGGAAUAGCUCCUGGAAACGGGUGGUAAUGCCGGAUGCUCCAGAUGACCGCAUGGGAUUCUGGGAAAGCUUUUGCGGCAUGGGAUGGGGUCGCGUCCUAUCAGCUUGUUGGUGGGGUGAUGGCCCACCAAGGCUUCGACGGGUAGCCGGCCUGAGAGGGCGACCGGCCACAUUGGACCUGAGAUACGGCCCAGACUCCUACGGGAGGCAGCAGUGGGGAAUAUUGCGCAAUGGGCGAAAGCCUGACGCAGCGACGCCGCGUGCGGGAUGGAGGCCUUCGGGUUGUAAACCGCUUUUAUCGGGGAGCAAGCGAGAGUGAGUGUACCCGUUGAAUAAGCACCGGCUAACUACGUGCCAGCAGCCGCGG
Molecule: ribosomal RNA, 474 nt
Filed under: Bifidobacterium pullorum subsp. gallinarum
Lineage: Bacteria; Bacillati; Actinomycetota; Actinomycetes; Bifidobacteriales; Bifidobacteriaceae
Description: bacterial SSU rRNA
Rfam family: Bacterial small subunit ribosomal RNA
Source: RNAcentral